GAUGAACGCUGGCGGCGUGCCUAAUACAUGCAAGUCGAGCGAACGGACGAGAAGCUUGCUUCUCUGAUGUUAGCGGCGGACGGGUGAGUAACACGUGGAUAACCUACCUAUAAGACUGGGAUAACUUCGGGAAACCGGAGCUAAUACCGGAUAAUAUUUUGAACCGCAUGGUUCAAAAGUAAAAGACGGUCUUGCUGUCACUUAUAGAUGGAUCCGCGCUGCAUUAGCUAGUUGGUAAGGUAACGGCUUACCAAGGCAACGAUGCAUAGCCGACCUGAGAGGGUGAUCGGCCACACUGGAACUGAGACACGGUCCAGACUCCUACGGGAGGCAGCAGUAGGGAAUCUUCCGCAAUGGGCGAAAGCCUGACGGAGCAACGCCGCGUGAGUGAUGAAGGUCUUCGGAUCGUAAAACUCUGUUAUUAGGGAAGAACAAAUGUGUAAGUAACUGUGCACAUCUUGACGGUACCUAAUCAGAAAGCCACGGCUAACUACGUG
This 497-nucleotide ribosomal RNA is filed under the name uncultured bacterium. RNAcentral's name for it is "partial 16S ribosomal RNA". It matches the Rfam family "Bacterial small subunit ribosomal RNA", at positions 28 to 507 of the family's 1533-position model. The record is from RNAcentral.